CCGAGUUUACAACUCCCAAACCCCUGUGAACAUACCAAUUGUUGCCUCGACGGAUCAGCCCGCUCCCGGUAAAACGGGACGGCCCGCCAGAGGACCCCUAAACUCUGUUUCUAUAUGUAACUUCUGAGUAAAACCAUAAAUAAAUCA
This 147-nucleotide unclassified non-coding RNA is filed under the name soil metagenome. Its description in RNAcentral is "partial internal transcribed spacer 1". The record is from RNAcentral.